RNAcentral lists this ribosomal RNA (315 nucleotides) under uncultured eukaryote. Its description in RNAcentral is "partial 18S ribosomal RNA". It matches the Rfam family "Eukaryotic small subunit ribosomal RNA", at positions 1470 to 1796 of the family's 1831-position model. The record is from RNAcentral.
CCCUUAGACGUUCUGGGCCGCACGCGCGCUACACUGACCAGUGCAACAAGCAUCCGUCCUUGGCCGACAGGCCCGGGCAAUCUUUGAACGCUGGUCGUGAUGGGGAUAGACUUUUGCAAUUUUUGGUCUUCAACGAGGAAUUCCUAGUAAACGCAAGUCACCAACUUGCAUUGAUUACGUCCCUGCCCUUUGUACACACCGCCCGUCGCACCUACCGAUUGAAUGGUCCGGUGAAGCCUCCGGAUUGGCGCGCACCUCGGUGCCGCCGAGAAGUUGGCUAAACCUUACCAUUUAGAGGAAGGUGAAGUCGUANCA